UACAGAGGAGCCAAGCGUUGUCCGGAUUGACUGGGCGUAAAGCGUGCGCAGGCGGUUAUGCAAGACAGAUGUGAAAUCCCCGGGCUCAACCUGGGAACUGCAUUUGUGACUGCAUGGCUAGAGUGCGGCAGAGGGGGAUGGAAUUCCGCGUGUAGCAGUGAAAUGCGUAGAGAUGUGGAGGAAUACCGAUGGCGAAGGCAGCCCCCUGGGAUAACACUGACGCUCAUGCACGAAAGCGUGGGGAGCAAACAGG
This 253-nucleotide ribosomal RNA is filed under the name uncultured bacterium. RNAcentral describes it as "partial 16S ribosomal RNA". It matches the Rfam family "Bacterial small subunit ribosomal RNA", at positions 524 to 776 of the family's 1533-position model. The record is from RNAcentral.